RNAcentral lists this unclassified non-coding RNA (20 nucleotides) under Chlamydomonas reinhardtii. RNAcentral describes it as "small RNA Cre_3536". Lineage: Eukaryota; Viridiplantae; Chlorophyta; Chlorophyceae; Chlamydomonadales; Chlamydomonadaceae. The record is from RNAcentral.
UGUCGAAACUAUCGGAGGAG